UACAGAGGGGCAAGCGUUAUUCGGAAUUAUUGGGCGUAAAGGGCGCGUAGGCGGCCAUUCAAGUGACGGGUGAAAGCCCUCGGCUUAACCGAGGAACUGCCUGUCAGACUGGAUGGCUUGAGACCGGGAGAGGUGAGUGGAAUUCCCAGUGUAGCGGUGAAAUGCGUAGAUAUUGGGAGGAACACCAGUGGCGAAGGCGGCUCACUGGACCGGAACUGACGCUGAGGCGCGAAAGCGUGGGAGCAACAGG
Molecule: ribosomal RNA, 250 nt
Filed under: uncultured bacterium
Lineage: Bacteria
Description: partial 16S ribosomal RNA
Rfam family: Bacterial small subunit ribosomal RNA
Source: RNAcentral